AGGGCGAACGCUGGCGGCAGGCCUAACACAUGCAAGUCGAACGGACCCUUCGGGGUUAGUGGCGGACGGGUGAGUAACACGUGGGAACGUGCCUUUUGGUUCGGAAUAGCUCCUGGAAACGGGUGGUAAUGCCGAAUGUGCCCUUCGGGGGAAAGAUUUAUCGCCAUUAGAGCGGCCCGCGUCUGAUUAGCUAGUUGGUGAGGUAAAGGCUCACCAAGGCUACGAUCAGUAGCUGGUCUGAGAGGAUGACCAGCCACAUUGGGACUGAGACACGGCCCAAACUCCUACGGGAGGCAGCAGUGGGGAAUCUUGCGCAAUGGCGAAAGCCUGACGCAGCCAUGCCGCGUGAAUGGUGAAGGUCUUAGGAUUGUAAAAAUUCUUUCACCGGGACGAUAAUGACGGUACCCGGAGAAGAAGCCCGGCUAACUCGUGCCAGCAGCCGC
Molecule: ribosomal RNA, 443 nt
Filed under: uncultured soil bacterium
Lineage: Bacteria
Description: bacterial SSU rRNA
Rfam family: Bacterial small subunit ribosomal RNA
Source: RNAcentral